UGAUGCUGGGAAGCCACACAGGCGUGGACCUGCUUCGCCAAGCAGAAAGCAGGAGAGUGACGCCAUGUCACGCAGAGGCUGGUCCUGCUGGAGAUUUGGGGAAGUCUCAAGGAAAGAUUUAAAUGAAUCUGGGCAUAAUGCUGCCUGCUGUUCAACUCUUCCUGCCUGUUGACCAAAUCACACAAGGGAGGUGUAACCACCCGGUCCUGGUCCUGAAGGUCAAAGCAGCUUCCUGGAAGAAACCGGUUCCAGACAUAAGAGUUUUACUCCAAUAUGGCUUCCAGGAUCCCAGAGGACUUGACUUGGAGAGAGCAUCAUUGGAGUUAAAGGGGCCAAGGUCCGGGGGCCAAGAACACGCCUUGGUGCCAGAAGAAGUUCGUAAGUCUUGAAAUGCAGCAUCUCCUGGGGUACAACUGUCAGGCAGAACUCAUGAUAACAGAGCCUUCAAGAUGGGGAGUGAGGACAGGUGUGGGUGCUCAUGCCUGUAAUCCCAACACUUUGGGAGGCCGAGGUGGUCGGAUCACCUAAGGUCAGGAGUUCAAGACCAGCCUGGCCAACAUGGUGAAAUCCCAUUUCUACUAAGAAUACAAAAAAUUAGCUGGGCGUGGUGGCACACGCCUGUAAUCCCAGCUACUCGGGAGGCUGAAGCAGGAAAAUCACUUGAACCCAGAAGGCGGAGGUUGCAGUGAACUGAGAUCACGCCAUUGCACUACAUCUUGGGCAACAAGAGUGAGACACCACCCGGGUAGUGACUCACGCUUGUAAUCCCAGUACUUUGGGAGGCCGAGGCGAGCGGAUCACAAGGUCAGGAGAUUGAGACCAUCCUGGCUAACAGGGUGAAACCCCAUCCCUACCCAAAAAAAAAAAAAAACAAAAGUCAGGCCUGGUGGCGGGUGCCUGUGGUCCCAGCUACUCAGGAGGCUGAGGCACCCAGGAGGCAGAGCUUGCAGUGAGCCUAGAUCACGCCACUGCACUCCAGCUUGUUUGACAGAGCGAGACUCCAUCUCAAAAAAAAAAACAAAAAACAAAAAAAAAAACAUGGCGAGUGAAUAAGAGCAAUAAAAAUAUUUGAACGUGUGACUCCUACCACUUUUUAACUUAGAUUUUUGGGAA
Molecule: long non-coding RNA, 1113 nt
Filed under: Macaca fascicularis (crab-eating macaque)
Lineage: Eukaryota; Metazoa; Chordata; Mammalia; Primates; Cercopithecidae
Description: lncRNA (ENSMFAG00000055952.1)
Source: RNAcentral